CGCUACGGACUUAAAAUCCGUCGACUUUAAAAAUCGUGAGGGUUCAAGUCCCUCUAUCCCCA
This 62-nucleotide transfer RNA is filed under the name Lotus tetragonolobus (winged pea). Its description in RNAcentral is "partial tRNA-Leu". It matches the Rfam family "tRNA", at positions 22 to 71 of the family's 71-position model. From Rfam's summary of the family: Transfer RNA (tRNA) molecules are approximately 80 nucleotides in length. Their secondary structure includes four short double-helical elements and three loops (D, anti-codon, and T loops). Further hydrogen bonds mediate the characteristic L-shaped molecular structure. tRNAs have two regions of fundamental functional importance: the anti-codon, which is responsible for specific mRNA codon recognition, and the 3' end, to which the tRNAs corresponding amino acid is attached (by aminoacyl-tRNA synthetases). tRNAs cope with the degeneracy of the genetic code in two manners: having more than one tRNA (with a specific anti-codon) for a particular amino acid; and 'wobble' base-pairing, i.e. permitting non-standard base-pairing at the 3rd anti-codon position. Lineage: Eukaryota; Viridiplantae; Streptophyta; Magnoliopsida; Fabales; Fabaceae. The record is from RNAcentral. RNAcentral also lists the same sequence under 32 other names.